Molecule: transfer RNA, 28 nt
Filed under: Radula lindenbergiana
Lineage: Eukaryota; Viridiplantae; Streptophyta; Jungermanniopsida; Radulales; Radulaceae
Description: partial tRNA-Leu
Source: RNAcentral
UGAAAUUACAGAAACAAAAAUUGCCGGA